Molecule: small RNA, 48 nt
Filed under: Arabidopsis thaliana (thale cress)
Lineage: Eukaryota; Viridiplantae; Streptophyta; Magnoliopsida; Brassicales; Brassicaceae
Description: ATSL029370
Source: RNAcentral
UCGCUUAUAAUUUCUACAGAUUCCAUUUAAAAGCAAGAAGUUAAGUUU